CGCACAGCUCUGGAGCUGCGGUCUCAGACGACAGCGGAAGCCGACCCACGGGAGCGUGAGGAGGGCCAGAUGAAUAGAUGCUGGCAGCAGCAGCAGGGGACGGCAGGCUGAAUUCCAAACCUCCAGUUGGCUCGGCUUCUCCCAGACUAUUAGAGGAAUGAAGGCUGCAGUGAGAGAAGACCUUCGCUCCGGAUCAUGCGGCAAGAGAUGGACCAAGGUUUGGCCUCUCUUCAGAAACCGGCAGUGCCCCCUCC
Long non-coding RNA from Tachyglossus aculeatus (Australian echidna), 254 nucleotides. RefSeq lists it as uncharacterized. The record is from RefSeq and is a predicted model, not a curated record. The transcript has 3 exons. NCBI's taxonomy places the organism in Eukaryota, Metazoa, Chordata, Mammalia, Monotremata, Tachyglossidae.